GUUGAGUCACGGGUCGAUGUAAUCUUGACCUAUGAGUGACAAUAUACUUGAUGUCUAGGGCAUCGUAACCCAACAAGUGGGGAGUUUGAUUUGUCUUGGACAAGUUGAACGAUCUGCGGUAGCAGCGAUAUCGACGUGGUGUGGUUGGAAGUUCAGCCAUGCCCAGAUGUUGUUGUUACUUUGUAUGCUAUGUUGUUAGUGAUGACAUUCAUCUUGAGGUGAUGCGGUGUCAUGUUGCCUACUGUGUAUCUUGGUUUAGAGCUAUUACGCUUAAAACAUGUGGAUUAUCGAUUAGUGACGUGGCAUCGCUUCCUUCGUUGAUGAAAGUCGUCCAAUGUAGCGUUGGUUUAUUUGUUUUCUUCUCGUAUCGCUCGGUGCAUUCUGUGGUCAUUUUGGCUGUUGGCAGCUUGCUUGGCAAUUGAGCUUGGUGGGUUGCUACUGGUUGGGUGUCUUCGGGGAUGUCUACCGUAAAGGUGCAUGAGUGGUGUUUGGUUUGUUAUGGGUGGUUGGCUCUUUGCUUGCGCAACAACUUCUACCCGGCAUACCUCUUCAGUCUUGUGUCAAUGCUUGAAUUGCAUUGAAUGCACGGUGGGUUUCUUGUGUUGCAUGCCUAAUUAAUGGUAUCGCUUGAUGAAUUGGUAUUCUUUUCGUCUUGUGUCGCCUAUGCGAUGUGAGAUGAACCUUGAAGCAACCUUUGUGAUCCACUCUUUUGAUGCAUACGCAUUGAUUUUGUGGCCCAUUGAGUGUUGCUUGGUCUCAUGGAUAUGGAACCUGGUGUGGGCAUGGAAUCUUACUGGUUCCUUGUUUGCCCAAGUUUAGCUUUUCUAAAACGAUUGUCU
Molecule: unclassified non-coding RNA, 839 nt
Filed under: Anaphalis aff. nepalensis Boufford 31830
Lineage: Eukaryota; Viridiplantae; Streptophyta; Magnoliopsida; Asterales; Asteraceae
Description: contains 5' external transcribed spacer, ETS
Source: RNAcentral